CUUGAGCUCAGUUCUAUGCAAGACUACCCGCUGAAUUUAAACAUAUUACUAAGCGGAGGAAAAGAAACUAACAAGGAUGGCCCUAGUAACGGCGAGUGAAGCGGUCCCAGCUUAAUCGACAAUCCCGUCGCAUCAAGCGACUGGGAAUUGUAGUCUUGGCCUUUGAACGGCGCUGGAUGAUGGGUAAUUCGAUGGAAAUCGAGGUCGUAGAGGGUGACAGCCCCGUGUGUCUGUCGUUCCGGCGCCAUAGUUCACUGGUUCACCGAGUAGCGUUCCUUGGGAAUGGAGCGUGAAGUGGGAGGUGAUUUCCUUCUAAAGCUAAAUAUUGGCGAGAGACCGAUAGCGAACAAGUACCGUGAGGGAAAGAUGAAAAGCACUUUGGAGAGAGAGUUAAACAGUAUGCGAAAUCGUUGGAAGCAAGCGAAUCAGUGGGUUUGGGCACGGCUCUGGGUUCCGGGCGCUCCGUUUGUUGUGUGCGGCUUGCCGCGCCAACUUACUUGCCAGCGCUCGGUCCUGGUGCGAGGUUUUGGUGCCUGGCUCCGGCCAGCCUUCUGAUCCGACCCGUCUUGAAACACGGACCAAGGAGUCUAAUAUGUGUGCGAGUGCUCGGGUGUCAAACCCCAGCGCGUAGGUAACCCAAUAACGCGUUAGUCCGUUUAACACCGGACGCACCGCGGGUAGUGUGUUUAUUCCCUAACAAGAGCACGUA
RNAcentral lists this ribosomal RNA (709 nucleotides) under Pterocorys cf. zancleus I. Its description in RNAcentral is "eukaryotic LSU rRNA". It matches the Rfam family "Eukaryotic large subunit ribosomal RNA", at positions 1 to 806 of the family's 3401-position model. Lineage: Eukaryota; Polycystinea; Nassellaria; Pterocorythidae. The record is from RNAcentral.